Molecule: long non-coding RNA, 1845 nt
Organism: Acinonyx jubatus (cheetah)
Lineage: Eukaryota; Metazoa; Chordata; Mammalia; Carnivora; Felidae
Exons: 4
Source: RefSeq, a predicted model, not a curated record
GGCCCGUCUCCAAAUACCAUCACACUGGGGGUUAGGGCUUUGACGUGAAUCCAAUACGAAUUUUGGACACAACUCAGUCCACAGCAGUGAAAUUGAUUGAAACAAGUUUGAGGUCCUGAUGCCAUGCUCCAUUUCUCAUCCUUCCUUCUCUCCCACAUUUCCCGUCUGUUUUUUGUUCUUCUGUGUGUGGUGUUAGGUCCCGAGGCAUAGAUACUGUCUGGUACCUUGUUAACUAAGGUAAAACACUGAGGCUGUUGCUGUAUGACUUCUCAUCUUUCCUCAUUAUGAAAGCGAUGUUGGCUAUCUCUUUGAAACGUCUCAGUGUUUCUAUAGCAUGGCCCGCCAGAGUUCAGUGCCAUAAGCCAGGCCAAGUACUCUGGUGAGCAAAAAAGAGCAACCUUAAGUCCUCCAGCCCAUAUGGGAACAACCUAGACACGAAGUGUUGCCAAUGGCCACGUAGUAGGUAUGUAAGUAUCUGUGGGCCACGUAGUCUCUUGUAACUACUCAACUCUGCCAUCACACCUUGAAAGCAGCUGUAAACCAUAUGGAAAUGAAUGGAGCAUGGCUCUUUUCCCCUGAAAAUUAUUUACGAAAGAUGGGUAGUAGGCCAAUCUGGCCCAUGGAUCAUAGUCUGCUGACCCCUGAAUUACACCCUGUCCCUCAGUUUCUUGCUCACUCUUUGCUCCCUCCUCUGCUCCAGCGUUGGCCUGUCAAAUAUCUUUUUGAUUACCUUCAUUUCCUUUGUCCUUACAACCAGAUUCUUUGUCUCUGUUUUUUGAAACUUUCUGCUACUGGUUAGUUCCAGUAGUCCCCCUAUUUGAGGAAUGACCCCGAAAGCCUUAAUCUGGUGUGGGGUUUGUGAGCUGGCCACUUGUCUGUGGGAGGCAAAGGCCAAUCAGAACGAGAUGAUGACUGAAUGUUUUUCUCUCUGUUUCAGACUACUUCAGGAAUUUGGAUGCCCUUUACAGUGCAUUACAUCCCCGGGGAGAAUCUGGAGCCCAUAGAUCAAUGGCCAUCAGUCUAAUCCUGGUUGCCAGGCACCUGUAGCUAUGGUCUCCUCUAAAUUCAAGAACUCUGUGUGGGCUCCAGGUCAAGGACCGCGGUUCCGGACACUCUAGAUGUGGACCAGCAGAAUCAGCAUCACCUGGAAGCUUGUCGAAAGAGAAUGUCACCCCCACCCCAGACCCACGCAUCACAGUCUGUUCUUCAACAAGAUCUCCGGGUAAUCUGUGUGCACGUCAUGAUUUGAGAGGCAAGGCAAAACAAAAACUUGACCAAGCCUGCUUGGGUCAGACCAGCUAAGAGCUGAGUAGUUGAUCAGUAUCAAAAAGCAUACCUGAAGACCUGGCAGAAUUUCCAGGAAGUGGCAUUUCUCUGCUUUUCCACAGUUCACGUCCCAACCAUAUGGACACUUCCACUCUGAAAUUUGGUUGAUUAUCUUGCCUGUGUGACACAGAAACCAAUUCCCAGCUGCCCUCUGAGAAUUACCAAAACCUUUCACAGAGGACAAAGAAUCCCUUUAAGGUAAUGGAGGGUUGUCGCAUCAUUGUCAUCUGCAGCCAUUGUUUUCUCUGUGUCAUACGCUGAAGAUGUAGCUGAUGAAGAUUUGGUUCAGUUUCCUGAGGGAAAAAUGAAUAUCCGAGGGCAGUAAAGGGACACAUUUCAGAUUUCGAAUUCCAACCUACAACUGCAAAGGAACAAUAUCGAUGCUCGUCGGGGGCUUGUUCUGACUCACCCAUUUUUUUUUCAGAAGAGAGCUCCAGACUGUAGCAGUGGCUUGGUUACCGAGUAAAUUGUCUUGAAAUAAGCUUUCAGUGGUGAGUUAGAGUCUGGCCGGAUUCUUUG